AAGCCAAAUGCUAGGUGUGUCCAAGUUGGAACAGGGCCUGAGUGAACACUUCAGAAAUACCAGUCAGAGGCAGACAGACCUUCAUCUCUGUGUGACACUGACAUCUCACAGGUACACUCCGGGGCCUCUCGGGAACCCUGGUGAAGGUACAAAUCAUAGAUGUGCACGCAACUAAUUGUAUUUUAUUUUGCCAUAAAGCUGUUUAGCCUUAAGACCCUUGAGUGGAAGUCUAACUGCCAUUGAGGUGUUGGUACCCCUUUUUACCCCAUCUUGUGUGGCUUAGAAAAGAGGCCUGCCUAGGUUUGCUCUGGCCCUCAGAUGCCCUCUCCUCCCUAAAUGUCCCUGUCUUUGUUGCUGCUUCAUGUACUGCCUUCUUACUCGCUUCAAUAAAAACUAUCUUCACCAGCUCCGGUGCCCUCCACCUGGAAGAGUCCUCAGAGUCCUUGAAGCACCGACCCUAAGCUUCCAAAAGAGAACCAUUUUACAUCCAAGGUGUUGGUGUGGAGACAUGUUGCCACCUCUCACACAGUUCAAAGGAAUCAAUGUGAACUUACCUGAAGCUUAAGUGAGUCUCAAGUAAAACGUCAGUCUUCACACUAGUGUAUCAGAACCUUUAAAGGAGGUCUUGAAUUCCUGCAGGUGCCAGACCUGGUGGGGGCAUCUCCACCUGCCACUUGACCUUCCUUAGAGCUACUGACUCUUUAUACCUGUGACUUCUGAGUCAUCCCAUCGACCUAUUAGUCCUUGAGAAGUUCACAGCUCAACUUUCAGAAGUCAGACUGCUUCUUGGUAAGAAUGCAGCACCCACCACCCCCACCCCAAUGAAUGUAGCCUCUUAAUAUUCAGACACUGUAUUUCAGCAUCAGUUGGAGACUGUCCACCAUCCAAGUUGCAAGGACAUUUAUACUCAUGAGCAGUUCGUCAUCCUGAGGCUUCUCAUACAAACAUUCUCCAUCAAAUCCUGCCAAAUCCUUUAUUGGGGUUUUUGUUGUUGUUGUUGUUGUUUCUUUUUCCUCUGUCCGAAUGAGCAUGAAUAAACAGGUGCAAAUGAGCUGAGGCUAUUUUUGUGGUCAGCUGAGGAUGCUGCCAAGAGCUCCCCUGUGUGGCUGUACGGAUGUGGAGAACAUGUGGGCACUCCAUGGAUGAUACCCCCUUUCUUGACAUUUUUAAACAAGCACAAAUGAUAUUUGUAAAAAAAAAAAAGUUUAAUUUUAUUUAUUAUGGUAAUAAACUAUUUUAUAUGU
Molecule: long non-coding RNA, 1244 nt
Filed under: Mus musculus (house mouse)
Lineage: Eukaryota; Metazoa; Chordata; Mammalia; Rodentia; Muridae
Description: long non-coding RNA chr1:192508913-192510157
Source: RNAcentral